RNAcentral lists this transfer RNA (96 nucleotides) under Ancylobacter aquaticus. RNAcentral describes it as "tRNA-Sec". It matches the Rfam family "Selenocysteine transfer RNA". Lineage: Bacteria; Pseudomonadati; Pseudomonadota; Alphaproteobacteria; Hyphomicrobiales; Xanthobacteraceae. The record is from RNAcentral. RNAcentral also lists the same sequence under 3 other names.
GGAAGAGCGUUACCUCCGGUGAGGUAUCCGGACUUCAAAUCCGGAAGGGGCCGCGAGCCGGUCCCUGGUGGGUUCGACUCCCACUCUCUUCCGCCA